UUGCCACUGUGGCUACAAGCUUUUGUCCUUAAAGGGCUCAUAUCAUGCAAAAUCCACUUUUUAGACAUUUUGGAGUGUUCCUAUGACUCUAUGGGUCACAUAUACACACACUGAGCACGGUAGAAAUGCAUUUCCUGCUUUUUCACAUUUUGAAAACGUAAAUUUUCUCACCCAAUGAAAACAGACCGCGACCUACUCUGAGGCCGUGUCCCAGUUGUCGUCACCUUGGUCGGAAGUUCUCCCUGCAAAUCCUGAACCACCACCCCCACAAUGAUCCCGAACCAAAACUGGACUUCCGCCAUUUCCCCCCUCUCACUCACCGUGAACAGACGAGCACGGCAGCGCCCAAGUCCUCCCAUAGAAAUAGUUCGGUUCUUAGGUGUUCUAACCAACACCAAAGUCUAUUCACUUUAACAAGGGAUCAACAAGUGAGGAUUUGUGGGUCACUUUUAUUUUUAACGGACCGGUGCCAGAAACACUGCUUCAGCAUUUAUACGUAUGUGCAUUUCAAAUGAGGGUGCGUACAAUGCUGGAUUUGUUUAACGGCUCCUGUUGGAAAAAAAGGAUCUAUUCCUACAGUCCGUCAUCCACUCACUGCAGUAAGUACAUGCUUGAUAUUUAUAAUGUUUUAAAAUGUUAGUAUGUAGUAACCUAUGUGUGGGGCAAGUUACUAGCUAGCUAUGCUAACGGCUACAGCCAGUCGACCGAGCCUUUGUCCCCUUCAAAUGUGCUCAUGUGGGCUCCUGCAGCCACACACCUGAGUGGAGAAAAGCUAAUGGCUAACGGCAUCGAGCGGCUACAGGCAGGGAGCGGUGGGUCUAGCGUCUGUCCUUUUUCUGUAAUCACAUACACCUGCGGGGAACAGCUGAUUGUUAUCGCCCUUCCAGCGGCGACAGACAGGAAGCAGUGGAUCUAGCUCGCUGUAGUAAGUUUGUGCUUGAUACUUGUGAUAUCUAAAUAUGUUGGCUAAUCGCUAGCGUCGCUAACGGCUACAGUGAGUCAACCGAGCCUUUGUCCCUUUCAAAUGUGCUACUCUGAGUUGGUGCAAUCACACACCUGUGUGGGGAACAGCUAAUAGCGAUGGGCCUUCGAUCGGCGACAGGCAGGAAGCGGUGGAUCGAGCUUUUGUCCUGUUGACGUGCUGCCGCUCCUGUUUGUGUUGCGUUAGCCGUUAGCAUGUCUUUAGGCCUUUGCACUUUAGAGCGACAGCUGGUCGAUCGCUACAAAAAGAACCUGCAGAUGAACGCGGUUAUGUUUGUUAUUACCCCGUCCUGUGUCAGAGCCUAAAUCAACUUGUGAUUUGGGGUUAUGUCAUUGUUCUAUCAAAUUCUAACAUGAUUAGUUGGAAUGAUUACUGUGUUGUGUUGCAAGCUUAGUUGCUAAUUAGUCACAUCUCUACAAUAACUGCUGCUUAUCUGGUCAGUAACCUACAGCUUGUACCAUAGCCAUUAUAUUUGUAGGAACAAUACAAUUUACAGUAAAUGUAACAGUCUUUUCUAUACUGUAGGGAGCCAAAUCCCAGUUACCUACAUGCAAGGAGGCUGUGAAACAGAAAUCACUGCAGACUGUUGGUACACGGACAUCUGCUGCCCAGCUCAGGAGUAAAGUACCUUUUUGUUUUGAUGAGGUGAUGGUGAGGACAGCCACAGCUUCCAUCUGGUAGAGGACUGCUUCCGCUCAGUCUUCCAAAUAGUGAUGAGAACAAGGAUCACCACAUCUCCCUGUUUACCCUACUUUCAUGCAUUUCGUCUGCAAGGCCCUGCAAAAGCUUGUCCUCAAACCCCCAGACUUCUUAAUUAACUCAGUAACCUAUACAUUGCACAUUGGAGUGUGAAGGUAACAGUUUGUUCUAGCUUUGGAGUAGUGGUGCAUUUUUUUGGUUUACAAUAAAGUUGGCUUUAACUAUUA
Molecule: long non-coding RNA, 1908 nt
Organism: Betta splendens (Siamese fighting fish)
Lineage: Eukaryota; Metazoa; Chordata; Actinopteri; Anabantiformes; Osphronemidae
Exons: 3
Source: RefSeq, a predicted model, not a curated record